UAGGGAAUCUUGCGCAAUGGGCGAAAGCCUGACGCAGCAACGCCGCGUGGGGGAUGAAGGCCCUCGGGUUGUAAACCCCUUUCAGCAGGAACGAAUCUGACGGUACCUGCAGAAGAAGGCCCGGCUAACUACGUGCCAGCAGCCGCGGUAACACGUAGGGGCCAAGCGUUGUCCGGAUUCAGUGGGCGUAAAGAGCUCGUAGGCGGUUCAGUUAGUCGGAUGUGAAAUCUCCGGGCUCAACUCGGAGGGGCCACCCGAUACUGCUUCUACUCGAGUCCGGUAGGUGAGUGGGGAAUUCCUGGUGUAGCGGUGAAAUGCGCAGAUAUCAGGAGGAACACCGGUGGCGAAGGCGCCACUCUGGGCCGGUACUACCGCUGAGGAACGAAAGCGGGGGGAGCAAACAGG
RNAcentral lists this ribosomal RNA (405 nucleotides) under bacterium. RNAcentral's name for it is "partial 16S ribosomal RNA". It matches the Rfam family "Bacterial small subunit ribosomal RNA", at positions 355 to 776 of the family's 1533-position model. The record is from RNAcentral.